UUUAUUUUAGAUCUUUCGGAUCCAGAGUCACCCCGAAGGAAUCUAAAAUGUACGCUAAUUUUCAUUCUUUACCUCUGAGGUAAAGAAUUUUUUUUAAAAAGCAAAAAGUUAGAUGUGUUUUUUCAAAAUUAUUCUUUUAAAUGAUUUUAAGUUCAUUCUGUAGCGUCGCUGUAAAGGUCGUGUGUUUCUGAUCUUUAAGCGAUACCUCGAACAAUUAGUCACCUAAUUUUUUCGCAGUUGGACUGAUCUGCUCACCCUGCAUUCAUUAAUUUUUGCAGUCCGUAUGCCUAUCAUACGUAUUCAUCUCCACUGUUGCGUAUUUUAGCCGUUUCAGGAAAGUGUUAUUUUUAUUUAUUUUUUUUUAAAGAAAAAGAAAAAAAGGUAGGUAAGAAAAAAGGCAGGUAACAGUCCAUUUUUCACCGUUUGUGGAUUCACGGCGUGUCGCGGAUCUACGAAACGGUUUUUGCGUGGAUCCACGGCAUGCGCCAUUUAUCCAUAGACACCGCUGUAUACUUUUUUUGUUCAUUUGUCCACAGUAACACAAACUUUCGUGGGUAUAAAUGGCAAGCUGUGGAUGAACAACACUGUGGGUGGAUCCACGAAACAGGCAGUAUGCGUAGAUCCAUACGAUAUGCCAAACGUCCACUUCGUAAUUGACAAUUCUAAACAUUAAAUUAUUAACAUCCUUAAAGUUGAGAAUGAGUUUCAGCGUAAAACAAACCAUAAGCAGAAAAGAGCUAUUGCGUUUUCCCCAAGUAUGCGAAACUGGUCAUUUGGUUGUCAGGCUAAGCAAGAAGAACACGGUUUUCUUUAAAGGACACACGAGCGUCUUCGGCACUUCGGCAGAUAUAUUUUUUGUGACAUGCCACAAGCGGCAACGUCCUAACAAAGUAAUAAAUCACUCCCGUGCACCAGAGGGGAGCAUCUUGGAUGUCGGAUGUCGAUGGGUGCAGAUGCAUGCGUGACGCGAUGGGCCGGCCUUUUGAUGCGAGGGUGAGAAUGUAGAGGUCGGUCAAAUAAGAGUAAAAAUGCGGCAAACCUUGGAAAAGGGUCUUCUGGACUCAUUCUCUACAGGAGAUUUAUGAGAAUAUAAUGAACUAAUUGUAAGAAAAACUCGCCAAAAUUCUCUCAAUUGUUGACUGAAAAUUGACCAAAGAAAUAAACGGAAUUUUCGAAAAAAUAUGAUAUAUUUCCGAUACCGCUCAUCUCUCAUUCAAGUUAAACGCAGAUUAUAUUAUGUAUCUCACGGGAAUAAUUGUGGAAAAUACGUCGCGGAGAACGCACUUGCUAGUUUGCCCUAGGUAAAGUUGGCUAUAGGAGCUGCGUUUCAAAAUACCAUAAGAAUUCUUACAGCCGGCUAUUUAUUUCUUUAUUCAUUAUAUUUACGUACAUGAAAGCCCCAUUAUUGAAGCUAUGGCACAAGUCGAAAAAACACUAGGAAUUACAAUAUACAAUAAUUGAAAAUAUAAAUUACAAUUGUAAAAUGUUAAAUUAAGUGGUGGUUGGUAGAAUGUCAUUCAACAACUGAAGUCAGAAAUUCGUUUAAAUCAUAAAAUGCCUUGGUUAAGAGGAGAUUUCGAAGUAGAUUGAAGAAUUUCUUUACUUCACCAUCGCAGAGUUGUUGCUUGAUGUUCCAGGGCAGAGCAUUUAUAAUUUGGCUAUGCAAAGCGAAUAGAAAAGCAUAAAGAGGGCUAUAGAAAGAAGAAAAUCACACAGCCGGUGUAUACGAAGCGAUAAAAAAUUAUACAGCCGG
This 1753-nucleotide long non-coding RNA is filed under the name Bemisia tabaci. Its description in RNAcentral is "lncRNA ENSSSA1NGG009648". Lineage: Eukaryota; Metazoa; Arthropoda; Insecta; Hemiptera; Aleyrodidae. The record is from RNAcentral.